AUGCAAGUCGUGCGGACCUUUUUAAAAAGCUUGCUUUUUAAAAAGGUUAGCGGCGGACGGGUGAGUAACACGUGGGCAACCUGCCUGUAAGAUCGGGAUAACGCCGGGAAACCGGGGGCUAAUACCGGAUAGUUUUUUUCCCUCCGCAUGGAGGAAAAAGGAAAGACGGCUUCUGCUGUCACUCCUCUGAUGGGCCCGCGGCGCAUUAGCUAGUUGGUGGGGUAACGGCUCACCAAGGGAACGAUGCGUAUCCGACCUGAGAGAGGGUGAUCGGCCACAUUGGGACUGAGACACGGCCCAAACUCCUACGGGAGGCAGCAGUAGGGAAUCUUCCCAAAAUGUGGACGAAAGUCUGACGGAGCAACGCCGCGUGAGUGAAGAAGGCCUUCGGGUCGUAAAACUCUGUUGCCGGGGAAGAACAAGUGCCGUUCGAACAGGGCGGCGCCUUGACGGUACCCGGCCAGAAAGCCACGGCUAACUACGUGCCAGCAGCCGCGGUAAUACGUAGGUGGCAAGCGUUGUCCGGAAUUAUUGGGCGUAAAGCGCGCGCAGGCGGCUUUCUUAAGUCUGAUGUGAAAAUUCUUGCGGCUCAACCGCAAGCGGUCAUUGGAAACUGGGAGGCUUGAGUGCAGAAGAGGAGAGUGGAAUUCCACGUGUAGCGGUGAAAUGCGUAGAGAUGUGGAGGAACACCAGUGGCGAAGGCGGCUCUCUGGUCUGUAACUGACGCUGAGGCGCGAAAAGCGUGGGGAGCAAACCGGAUUAGAUUAACGUGGUAGUCCAAACGGAAAACAAUAAGGGUAAAGAAUAAAAGGGUUUACGCCCUUUAUGCUACAACUAACGCUUUAACCACUUCGCCUGGGGGAGUACGGCGCAAGGGUUAAACUAAAGGAAUUGACGGGGGGCCCCACAAGCGAUGGAGACAAGUGGUUUAAUUCAAGCAACCGAAGAACCUUACCAGGUCUUGAUGACAUCGUCUGAAAUCCCUGGGGACAGGGGCCUUCCCCCUUCGGGGACAGAGUGACAGAUGGGUGCAUAGUUGUCGUCAGCUCGUGUCGUGAGAUGUUUGGGGUUAAGUCCCGCAACGAGCGCAACCCCUGACCUUAGUUGCCAGCAUUCAGUUGGGGCACUCUAAGGUGACUGCCGGGGGACAAACCGGAGGAAGGUGGGGGAUGAGUCAAAUCAUCAUGCCCCUUAUGACCUGGGGUACACACACGUGCUACAAUGGAUGGUACAAAGGGCUGCGAGACCGCGAGGUUAAGCCAAUCCCAGAAGGCAUUCCCAGUUCGGAUUUGCAGGCUGCAACCCGCCUGCAUGAAGCCGGAAUCGCUAGUAAUCGCGGAUCA
This 1343-nucleotide ribosomal RNA is filed under the name Heyndrickxia coagulans. Its description in RNAcentral is "bacterial SSU rRNA". It matches the Rfam family "Bacterial small subunit ribosomal RNA", at positions 55 to 1351 of the family's 1533-position model. The record is from RNAcentral. Lineage: Bacteria; Bacillati; Bacillota; Bacilli; Caryophanales; Bacillaceae.